UUCUUCUUCCUUAACUCAUUCAAUUCUCUUUUAUUCUGAACAGAACUCUUUUCUCUCUCUCUCUCUGCUCUCUACCGCCCCUCUCUGUCCCUCUCUUUCCCGGCGAGCGUCGCCGGCCUUUACGGCCUCCGGCGCGGCGAGGUCGGCCUCUUCUCUUCCCCCUUUUUUUCCUUCCAUUUCUUCUCCUCUUUCUCCUGAAUUUAGAAUAGAUCUAGGGUUUCUAAAUUUCCUGAAGUUUGUUCCUCCGGUGAACUCCGCCACUGCCGCCGCCGUGCUCGUCGCGCCGCCACCCCCUCUGAUUCAGGUAAGCCUCCCCAUCUCUCUUUCUCCUUUUCUUUCUUCCUUUCUCUGCUCCUCUAUCUCGAUCUCUCUCUCUUUUCUGGUCAGGCCGCGGCGGCCGCUGCGAGCCGCGACAGCGCAUGCAGCGCCGGUGGUCGCCGCCGCCCUGCACUCCCCUCUCUCCCUCCAACUCGUUCUAUCCGUCUCUUUCUAUUUCACUCUCUAUCUCCCUGGUUUAAUCUCCCUCUCUAUUUCUCUCUCUGCUGUCAGUAGCCACCACGGCCGCCGUGGCGCCGGCGACCACCGCUGCCAGCCGUGCCUCCGCUGCGGUGGCUCGCGGCUGCUGCUGCUACUGCUAUUUCCCCCCUUCUCCUUCUUCCUUCCAUCUUCUCUAUUUCCCAAUUCAAAAUCUCAUUCCAGCAAACUUCCAAUCUAAUUUCUAUUUCAGUUUUAACAUCACAAACUAAUAAAUCUCAAACUAUUUUCUGUUCCAGGAAUCGGUGAUUCAAGAUGGUUUGAGAUGGUUUCAUCGGCAGUUCAUCU
This 822-nucleotide long non-coding RNA is filed under the name Salvia miltiorrhiza (redroot sage). Its description in RNAcentral is "long non-coding RNA (SMIL_LNC006416)". Lineage: Eukaryota; Viridiplantae; Streptophyta; Magnoliopsida; Lamiales; Lamiaceae. The record is from RNAcentral.